AUCCAGCUGACGAGUUCCAAAUAGGAUGAAACGCGUGUCCUGGAU
This 45-nucleotide non-coding RNA is filed under the name Schistosoma mansoni. Lineage: Eukaryota; Metazoa; Platyhelminthes; Trematoda; Strigeidida; Schistosomatidae. The record is from RNAcentral.